RNAcentral lists this ribosomal RNA (256 nucleotides) under uncultured Gardnerella sp. Its description in RNAcentral is "partial 16S ribosomal RNA". It matches the Rfam family "Bacterial small subunit ribosomal RNA", at positions 98 to 354 of the family's 1533-position model. Lineage: Bacteria; Bacillati; Actinomycetota; Actinomycetes; Bifidobacteriales; Bifidobacteriaceae. The record is from RNAcentral.
CGGAACGGGUGAGUAAUGCGUGACCAACCUGCCCCAUGCUCCAGAAUAGCUCUUGGAAACGGGUGGUAAUGCUGGAUGCUCCAACUUGACGCAUGUCUUGUUGGAAAGUGUUUAGUGGCAUGGGAUGGGGUCGCGUCCUAUCAGCUUGUAGGCGGGGUAAUGGCCCACCUAGGCUUCGACGGGUAGCCGGCCUGAGAGGGCGGACGGCCACAUUGGGACUGAGAUACGGCCCAGAUUCCUACGGGAGGCAGCAGGG